GGGGAUUUAGUAUAAUUGGUAAUACACUGACUUUGCAUGUCAGGAAAAUGAGUUCAAAUCUCAUAGUCUCCA
This 72-nucleotide transfer RNA is filed under the name Saitoella complicata NRRL Y-17804. It matches the Rfam family "tRNA". Rfam says of the family: Transfer RNA (tRNA) molecules are approximately 80 nucleotides in length. Their secondary structure includes four short double-helical elements and three loops (D, anti-codon, and T loops). The record is from Rfam by way of RNAcentral. Lineage: Eukaryota; Fungi; Ascomycota; Saitoellomycetes; Saitoellales; Saitoellaceae.